UACGAAGGGGGCUAGCGUUGUUCGGAGUUACUGGGCGUAAAGGGCGCGUAGGCGGCGCAUCAAGUCAGGCGUGAAAGCCCUGGGCUCAACCCGGGAAUUGCGCUUGAGACUGGUGUGCUCGAGUACGGGAGAGGGUAGUGGAAUUCCCAGUGUAGAGGUGAAAUUCGUAGAUAUUGGGAAGAACACCAGUGGCGAAGGCGGCUAUCUGGACCGUAACUGACGCUGAGGCGCGAAAGCGUGGGGAGCAAACAGG
Molecule: ribosomal RNA, 253 nt
Filed under: uncultured bacterium
Lineage: Bacteria
Description: partial 16S ribosomal RNA
Rfam family: Bacterial small subunit ribosomal RNA
Source: RNAcentral